GAUGAACGCUGGCGGCGUGCCUAAUACAUGCAAGUCGAGCGAACAGACGAGGAGCUCGCUCCUCUUACGUUAGCGGCGGACGGGUGAGUAACACGUAGAUAACCUACCUAUAAGACUGGGAUAAAUUAGGGACACCGGAGAUAAUACCGGAUAAUAUAUUGAACCGCAUGGUUCAAUCGUGAAGGACGGUUUUGCUGUCACUUAUAGAUGGAUCCGCGCCGCAUUAGCUAGUUGGUAAGGUACCGGCUUGCCAAGGCAACGAUGCGUAGCCGACCUGAGAGGUGGAUCGCCCACACGGGAACUGAGACACGGCCAAGACGCCUACGGGAGGAAGCGGUAGGGAAUCUUCGGCAAUGGGCGAAAGCCUGACGGAGCAAGCCCGCGUGAGGGAGGAAGGUCUUCGGAUGGUAAAACUCGGUUAUUGGGGAGGAACGAAAGUGUGAGAAAAUCUGCACGUCUUGACGGUACCUAAACAGAAAGCCACGGCUAACUACGUG
This 497-nucleotide ribosomal RNA is filed under the name uncultured bacterium. Its description in RNAcentral is "partial 16S ribosomal RNA". It matches the Rfam family "Bacterial small subunit ribosomal RNA", at positions 28 to 507 of the family's 1533-position model. The record is from RNAcentral.